GGGUAGUGGAAGCAGAGCAAGAUGCAAACGUGUAGAAGCACCCCAAAAAGGUGCCCCGGCU
Molecule: transfer RNA, 61 nt
Filed under: Lygodactylus angolensis (Angola dwarf gecko)
Lineage: Eukaryota; Metazoa; Chordata; Lepidosauria; Squamata; Gekkonidae
Description: tRNA-Cys
Source: RNAcentral